AUAGUCUGGUUUCUGGGACCUAAGUAAGAUGGACUAAGGUGGAUUCUGGUUGUGGUUGUUUUUUUAGGAAACUUCCCAGGAGGCAAUCGAAAUCAGAUAUCCCCUGGAGCAGCAAGUACUCGACAAAGCCAGAGAGGAACGUGUCCGCAGACCGGUCGAGUACAUCAUCGAGGAUGAUUCUUCUGCCUUAAAUGAGGAACUUCGCGCUUUUCCUACUGAGGCAAGAAAACUUAAGGCUUACAGAGAACCCUACGUGCAGCCAGAAAUCUACUACUAUCUCAUUUCCGUGCCACAACCCAUGCCUUAUCCAGAUGAGGUCCCUCUUGCUUACACCUACAAAUUCGUAGUACCUGCUGUCAACAGGGCAGAUGAGGCAGUCAAUACCCCUGUGGAAGAGGAGAAGAACUAAAAGGAGCUUUCCAGAUCCCCCUCUCUCCUGAUCCCUGUUCUGGCUGAAAAUUCCAACCUCUUUAUGGGCUCGGUCUUCUGUUGGUGUCUAGGAAUAGCCUCAUGCAAUGCAGGAGAUUUGACACUCAUUACUGAUUGAACAAAUAAAAACAAAGCAAAACUCAGGAGAGUGUUCUCUUCCUCCAAUGGGUAUUACCUGACAUUAUUUCUCUUAAUCAAAAGUUGAUUUCUCAACUCGCUUUCCUGUCUCCCACUUUCAGCCCUGACAAGCCAGGUGUAGGCAUUCUAGCAUCGACACAUUAUUUA
RNAcentral lists this long non-coding RNA (714 nucleotides) under Monodelphis domestica (gray short-tailed opossum). Its description in RNAcentral is "lncRNA (ENSMODG00000031056.2)". The record is from RNAcentral. Lineage: Eukaryota; Metazoa; Chordata; Mammalia; Didelphimorphia; Didelphidae.